Molecule: ribosomal RNA, 440 nt
Filed under: uncultured bacterium
Lineage: Bacteria
Description: partial 16S ribosomal RNA
Rfam family: Bacterial small subunit ribosomal RNA
Source: RNAcentral
CCUACGGGGGGCAGCAGUGGGGAAUAUUGCACAAUGGGGGAAACCCUGAUGCAGCGACGCCGCGUGAGUGAAGAAGUAUUUCGGUACGUAAAGCUCUAUCAGCAGGGAAGAAAAUGACGGUACCUGACUAAGAAGCCCCGGCUAACUACGUGCCAGCAGCCGCGGUAAUACGUAGGGGGCAAGCGUUAUCCGGAUUUACUGGGUGUAAAGGGAGCGUAGACGGCAGCGCAAGUCUGGAGUGAAAUCCCAUGGCUUAACCAUGGAACUGCUUUGGAAACGGUGCAGCUAGAGUGCAGGAGAGGUAAGCGGAAUUCCGAGUGUAGCGGUGAAAUGCGUAGAUAGUAGGAGGAACACCAGUGGCGAGGGCGGCUUACUGGACUGUAACUGACGUUGAGGCUCGAAAGCGUGGGGAGCAAACAGGAUUAGAUACCCUGGUAGUC